UACUUAGUGGCAGACGGGUGAGUAACAUGUGGGUAUCUACCCUUCGGCCUGGAAUAACACGAGGAAACUUGUGCUAAUACCGGAUAAGUCUUUACGGAGAAAGCUUUAUGCACCAUUGGAUGAGCCCGCACUUGAUUAGUUUGUCGGUAGGGUAAUGGCCUACCAAGACUAUGAUCAAUAGCUGAUUUGAGAGGAUGAUCAGCCACAUUGGGACUGAGACACGGCCCAAACUCCUACGGGAGGCAGCAGUGGGGAAUCUUGCACAAUGGAGGAAACUCUGAUGCAGCGAUGCCGCGUGAGUGAAGAAGGCCUUUGGGUUGUAAAGCUCUUUCGUCGGGGAAGAAAAUGACUGUACCCGAAUAAGAAGGUCCGGCUAACUUCGUGCCAGCAGCCGCGGUAAUACGAAGGGACCUAGCGUAGUUCGGAAUUACUGGGCUUAAAGAGUUCGUAGGUGGUUGAAAAAGUUGGUGGUGAAAUCCCAGAGCUUAACUCUGGAACUGCCAUCAAAACUUUUCAGCUAGAGUAUGAUA
This 530-nucleotide ribosomal RNA is filed under the name uncultured Pelagibacterales bacterium. RNAcentral describes it as "bacterial SSU rRNA". It matches the Rfam family "Bacterial small subunit ribosomal RNA", at positions 89 to 653 of the family's 1533-position model. Lineage: Bacteria; Pseudomonadati; Pseudomonadota; Alphaproteobacteria; Candidatus Pelagibacterales. The record is from RNAcentral.